CGAAAUUAAAUAAAUAAAUAAAUAGUACGAAAGAGAAAGAGUUAAAUUUGAGUUAGUUGGGACCUUAAAUUGUUCGGCGCGGACGAGGUUAUCGGCGGUUACGGAGAGGGAGGUAUCGAGGGAUUCAAGCUGAGACUGAAGUUCUUCGAUGAGUCUAUCUUUCUUGGCGAUCUUGGCGCGAAGUUCCGACGACUCUAAUUCAAGGGCGUUUACACGUGUCAUUAAAGCAAUUGAGGUGAUCUUGCGUGCUAAAUCGAGUUGCUCGAACGGAUCUGACGGUAGCACUUGGAUGACAUCUUCGGGAAGACCGAACUUCGACCCACCCGAUUCCGCCGUCAUCGUCUGAUCUUUGUUUUCCUCCUCUUUCUUUUUUUUUUUUUUACGGUUUAUUUUAUUUAAAAAAUAACUAUUUCACAUUAUUUUCGUUUUUUUUUUUGUACAAGUUGAUUAUGAUUUUGGAGACAUCUCGAUUGAGCUUUCUGACGGUGUUGGAAAGUGAAGCAUUCUCCUUAAGCAAGCUCUCCUAUAGUAUCAAGCUCAAGCACCGAAAUUAAAUAAAUAAAUAAAUAGUACGAAAGAGAAAGAGUUAAAUUUGAGUUAGUUGGGACCUUAAAUUGUUCGGCGCGGACGAGGUUAUCGGCGGUUACGGAGAGGGAGGUAUCGAGGGAUUCAAGCUGAGACUGAAGUUCUUCGAUGAGUCUAUCUUUCUUGGCGAUCUUGGCGCGAAGUUCCGACGACUCUAAUUCAAGGGCGUUU
RNAcentral lists this long non-coding RNA (756 nucleotides) under Cicer arietinum (chickpea). RNAcentral describes it as "long non-coding RNA (CARI_LNC002200)". The record is from RNAcentral. Lineage: Eukaryota; Viridiplantae; Streptophyta; Magnoliopsida; Fabales; Fabaceae.